GACGAACGCUGGCGGCGCACCUAAGACAUGCAAGUCGAACGGUCUCUUCCGCGUCGCAAGACGGGGGGGAGAGAGUGGCGGACGGGUGAGUAACACAUACGGGACCUGCCCUAGAGUGGGGGAUAGCCUGGGGAAACCGAGGGUAAGCCCGCGUACGCUCGCUGGCAUAGCGGCCAGGGAGGAAAUACCCUUUCAACGGGGGAGCUCUGGGAGGGGCGUGUGGCGGAUUAGCUAGUUGGGGGGGUAGAGGCCCACCAAGGCGACGAUCCGUAGCUGG
Molecule: ribosomal RNA, 277 nt
Filed under: uncultured bacterium
Lineage: Bacteria
Description: partial 16S ribosomal RNA
Rfam family: Bacterial small subunit ribosomal RNA
Source: RNAcentral